RNAcentral lists this ribosomal RNA (79 nucleotides) under Pan paniscus (pygmy chimpanzee). Lineage: Eukaryota; Metazoa; Chordata; Mammalia; Primates; Hominidae. The record is from RNAcentral.
GUCUAUGGCCAUACCACCCUGAAUGUGCUUGAUCUUAUCUGAUCUUGAAAGCUAAUCAGGCAAGAGAAAGCAAUAAAGC